AAUUAUCAUAUCUGAUUUCAUUAUUUAUAAAACAUAUAUUUUGUAGGGUGCUUUCUAUCUUUUCGUUGAUUUAAGCUCUUAUUAUGGAACUGAAGUAGAAGGAUUUGGCAUUAUCAACAACUCAGAAUCCCUUUGCAGAUUUCUUCUAGACAAGGCACAGGUUGCUCUUGUUCCAGGAGACGCAUUUGGUGAUGAUAAGUGCAUAAGGAUCUCUUAUGCAGCAUCACUUGCAACGCUACAGGAUGCAGUAAGUAAUAUAAAAGAGGCUUUGCUCUCCCUACGGCGCCCAAUACCUGUUUAAACGGUAGAUGCUCGCUCUAGCAUCCUGUUUUUUUUGUUAUUGUUGUAUUAUCUAUUUUUCCUUGCUAAUCAAUAAUGAAACAAACUACCCUUUUGUUUGAAAAAUUGUGAUAUUGAUUUCCAAUGUUAUUUAGCAUUAAAUAAAGUUAUUGUUAGUGUA
This is a long non-coding RNA of Dendrobium catenatum, 460 nucleotides long. RefSeq lists it as uncharacterized. The transcript is spliced from 2 exons. The record is from RefSeq and is a predicted model, not a curated record. Lineage: Eukaryota; Viridiplantae; Streptophyta; Magnoliopsida; Asparagales; Orchidaceae.